UACCACAUUUAUCCACAUAUGUUAAUAUUAUUUGCACCGUUAGAUUCAAAUAAUAAUGGCUGAGAUUAAAAGUUUUUACGUUACAUGCUAACAUGUAUUUACUAUCUUAUUGAACUAGCACGUUGUCACGUCUAUGCAUAUGCAUAUAUGAUACAUGUACGGAAAGACUCAAUCAUCUACAUGUAAUUAAUGAGUGCAAGCAGGAAUCGUCCACACGGAAAAAGAGAAUAUCCGGACAACGUACGCCUAAGAUAAACUACACAAUGCUCAAAAAAAAAGAUAAACUACACAAGAUCACACGGCAAUAUAUAUUCUAUUUUGUGUGACACGUCCAGACGUAAUCACAUACUAGAGCACCACCGUCACAUAUAUAGAACCUCACGUGCGUCUAAUUCCAAAUCGGGCAUAUGCAUGCCAAAAAAACAAGGAGAACUACAACCGGACUCAAUCUAUAGAACUCCACACGGAGUCUUGAUAAAAGGAAAUACCAUGUGGAGUCCUGAUAAAGAGAAACUCCACAUGGAUCGGACAAGGCACUCAGCCGGCCACAUCUAACCCCAAGAGUCAGAAUCCAACCAAUUCUGGACAAAUCGAUGUUUGUAAAUCUGCUACCUAAUCAGAGCACCGCCGAGAAAAUUGAAGUCUUCCAGAAUUUGCUACGCGAGCACCACAAACAAAAUCGAAGACUAUAGAACAAAUCUGCCAUCCGAUUAGAGCACCACCAACAAUCGAAGAUUGUCGGCUCUGUGAUGCCAGACAAAUAUCAAAGAAAGCCAAAACUCUGAUGUGGCUGCAUCUCAAUGCCCGGUGAAGUCAGGACAGAUCUUCUGAGCUGCGUCUCACCUGAAUCAGGUUCGUAUAUCAGAAUAAAAGUUGUAUAGAUAGCUGACUAACAAAUUCAGAAUCCUUUCAAAGCCAAAAAACUAUGGUGUUGAUGAAGCUUAGUGCUUACAUAGAUAGCUGACUAAGAAUUUUAGAAUUCUUUCACAGCCAAAAAACUAUGGUGUUGAAGAAGAUUUAGUGCUUACCAACAACAGGAUAAACUAGAACAUUCAAGUGAAAGUACAGAUAAUGUGGGAUUGCCUCAAUCAUACAACAGAUCAUCAAUUUAAAACAAGCAAAUGCUAAUUAUAUUUUGUUUGCACUGAUAUGGAAAAAUAGUUCAUGUCACUAUCAACAUUAAAAGCAUCAUGCUAUUAUCCGGAGGAAUUUGAUACAAUUAUAUUGACGAAAUAAAAUGAUAAUUCUAUUUAUGCAUAUAACACUUUUUUACAGGUAUGCAUAUAAUACUUUUAAGUUUGUCAAAUCCACAAAGUAUCACCAUUGAGAAAUGAAAUUAAUUUAUUUCUUCAUAUUCCCUCCGUUUCUUUUUAGUCAGCAUAUAAGAUUUGGUCAAAGUCAAACUUUGUAAAGUUUGACCAACUUUAUAGAAAAAAAUAUUAACAUCUACAAUACUAAAUCUAUAUGGUAUGAAAAUUCAUUUCAUGAGGUAUCUAACAGUAUUGAUUUCAUAUUGUGAAUCUUCAUAUUAUUUUCUAUAAACUUAGUCAAAGUUAACAAAGUUUGAGUUUGACCAAAUUUUAUAUGCAGACUAAAAAAACGGAGGGAGUACAAUUUAAAGGUAAAGAAGGUGAAAGGACCAUUAGAAUGUUUUCUAGAUUACAACUCCGAGUUUGCCACCAAGGACACGAUACAAAAACAAGGAGAUAAAGUUAAGCAAGGCUCAGGUAUGUCUAUACUCUAUACUUUUAAAUAAUCUAAUUGAUAUUUCCAAACUUGAAGAAAUUAAUCUCCAACUUUGUAUGACAUUGGAUUAUUCACCCAAAUGAAGCAUGUGCAAUCAAGAAUAACAAUCCCCCCAAAAAAAGGAAUCAAGAAUAACAAAAAUGAUUUUACAAACUUCAUAUUGCCACAAGACUGCUUCUAAUAACAGAUCAAGUGCAAAAUGCAUGCCCAUUACUGAAAUUUUAAUUGGACUUCCACCAUUGCGGCUAAGAUUAACACUUUUCAGCUUGCCCUUUUUUUUGCGGGAAGCUUAUCCGUUUAGGAGUGAUGAAACCAGAACUAAGUAUGGGGAAUGUUUUCUUAUUUUUCAAAUGAGAAUGUAAUUAUUGUAGAAAUUCAUACAGUAAGGCCAAUGAUGUUACAAACAAAUCUAAUAGAUUUGUCAUUGAUUUAAUAGGGUUGUGCCUAAAGUCAACCAGCGCCAGAAGAAUAUAUACAGAUCUACACAGCCGAAAAAGAAAGAGGCACGGAAAAGGUCUAAGUAAUCCAUGUGCACGCCUAAGUAAUUCAAUCUACUAGGAAAUGAUUGUUCACGUACAAACAUAUUUCAGUAUGGGCCCGUACGUACAAAGCUAGGUCACCUAUACAAAUUAGGAAAAAGUGGGCAUGUCCUUUUGAGAGAGAAAAAAAUAUACGCCUAAGUAAUUCAAUCUACUUGGAGUACAAAAUCAGAUCAUCUACACACUUUAAAAAAACAUGGGCAGGUCCUUCGGUGAAAAAUAAAAGGCACGCCUAAAUCAUUCAACUUACUGGGAAAUAUACUAAAAAGUCUAGCCACCAAACACAUCCCAUGUGUACAUGCAAGCACUUGCAUCUAAUUCUAACGGACAGACAAGUCAGACUUUGGGCAGAAAAAUAGACAAUGGUACGAGGCACGGUACAAAAGCAACAAGCGCCAACCUAUCUAAAGCCGUAUACUUCAUGAAGAUUUUGAGUCAUGCUAGAUAAAUCUAAAUAUCUUCUAUUACUUUUCCAAAUGAAUCGUGACUCAUGUUUAUUCACCAAUAUAACAUAACAAUUUUACUUGACUAACUCCAUAUAUGCAGGACAAGAAAGUUUACCAAAAAUGAUCGAGAUGGAUAACAAUAAACAAGGAACAUAGAAAUAUUUUAUAGAAGGAGAACAUUACGAGAACUUACUGGAAUGAGGCACAAAACCAAGACAAGUCAGGUGAUGGUUCAAACUUCUUCUAAGAUAUGAUAUCACCACUUCUUGAGGAAACGAGACUCUUAGACCUGUAGUGCUUUUCUGACAAUUGAGUCAUAUCAGUUAUAGUGGAGUCAUAUCUAAAUUAUUUGUCUCUCAACUUCUUCGGGAUGCUAACUUUAAGUUUUUGGGUGAUUUUUUUACGAUUUUGUUUUUCACAACAAUAUGUAUAAUAAUCUAUUACACAAAAAUAUUCAAAUGAUCAAAUUCUGAUUGACACAAACUAACUACAAAGGAAAGUGGAAAGUCCUACUGCGAAAAUUGUGGUACAUAUCAAGAAACCAUAACACCUGGUAAGCAUAUUCUGCUAAUUUGAAUGAGAACUUUCAUAUUAUAUUUACUCUUAAUGAGAGUGGUAUGUAAAAAUUGCUAAACUUAUUGGAUGGGAAGAUCUCAGAAGCACCAAGCAAACCAUUUAUGUUUACUGAGAUAGAGAAAUAAUGCUUGACAAAGAUCAGUAUAAGGCGGACAGUUAUUAGAUAAGGGUCAAAACUUAGCACUAUGAGAAACAUGUCAAAUUGUAAUUAUUCGAAACACAUUCAUACAUGCACUUUUGUGAGUUUUAUGUUGUUCUUGGAAACAACCCUUCUAUCCUACAGCCUUUUCAGUUGAAGAGAACAAAGAGAAAAGCUUCAGUGUUAUAGGCAUCUCCCACAACACAUGUGAAAAAACUAAAAUCUAUUGCAUAUCAAUUAACACAUAUGGGCCAAAGUCAGUGAAUACAUGCAAGCCUUCUUUCUUUGUCUUAAAUACACCAAUUAUUAAUAUAAGUUGCUAAUAUAUGGUAACAACAAAUAGAAAGAACACACCUUUUAUCCAACAAAUAUUGAACACUUUUUGCUAUAGGAAACUUCAUAUAAUUAUUACGGUUGUCUUGAAGAGACAAUAAUCAAAGUUGGGCAGAAUGUCAACUAAAAAAAUAGGUUCGAUUCCCUAAAACAACGCAAGGCACAUCAAUGGCAAGUGACAUAAGUUAUAUCCUAGAACACUAUGAAGAACAUGGCCGUCCAACCCGACGACACAGCUCUAGGCCAGCGCCACGAACUGGAGAGCAACGCCACUCAGUGAAACGAAUCUCUUAUUUUCUCCGGUGACCUCGAAGCCUUGCUGCUUGGGGGCAAAAAAUCCUUCUCUCCAACAGAAAAUUUCUACACCGGAAAAGACGGAGAAAGGUCAGGUGACCUUAAUCAUCCCCUUCUCAUAGCCAUAGCAAAUCUCCAUAAAGAAUCCAUGCCAUUGCUGGAGGUUAGCAGACCAAGAUCUGGGAAGGAAGGAGAAGGAGAGGAAGAUGAGUGAUUACCUAGAGGAGUGCCACCCCUCAUGUUCAAGUGGACCCAACUCCAUGGCCAUCCAAUCGAUGACGGCGGCGAGCUGCAGGCACGUGUGGUCGAGCUGGAUGACAUGCCGCCGCCGGGAGCCUGGAGCCACCGCACUCCACCCCAAAUCCCACUUCUCCCCUGUCCUCUUUUCUUAGCAAGAUCUAGCAACGUAUUGUGGAUGAAUCCUUAGAUCAGGUAAGGAACAGGAGGAGAAUGAGAAUGGGGAAAGGGAUGAAUGGUACUACAGCCGUAUAGAUGCAAAAUACAGUAGAUUUUUUAACGAGAUGCAAAAUACAGUAGAUUUUUCAACGAGAUGCAAAAUACUGUAGAUUAAAGAAACGUGAAGCUCACAAUGUAGAGUCAAGUGUAAUCUUUGACUAUGUGGCCCUGGGUUCCUGACGUGCAUUUUGCACGCGGACUUGAAUUCGCUAAAUGAAUAAAAUGACGGAAAACGGAGUUAUCAAAAAAACA
RNAcentral lists this long non-coding RNA (4781 nucleotides) under Triticum aestivum (bread wheat). Its description in RNAcentral is "long non-coding RNA (TAES_LNC001037)". Lineage: Eukaryota; Viridiplantae; Streptophyta; Magnoliopsida; Poales; Poaceae. The record is from RNAcentral.